UACAGGAGUUGUUGGGUGCUUAGCAAUGAUCUCUGAUAAAAGAAGCACUGUCUAACAUUUUUAAAUGAGGGCUAAAAUGGUAUGAAGUUAACAACAUGAUAAAAAAAAAUCAGUGUCUUCAAGUAUUAAUUCAUAGUGAUGGCCUGAUGGAAUAUACAAAGGGUAAACUAGUGUACAAUGCCCAGUUAGGAGACUAUUGUGGUAGGCUAGAUGGGAGGACAUAGGGGACUGAGAUAAGGAUUUUAGUAAGAAUAAAGGGGUAGUUGAAGGUAAGAACUGGUAGGUUUAGAAGUAGAAUACAUAUGAAUGAGAAAGGGAAAUAUCUGAGUAUUUGGAGGAUUUAGGCCUGGAUAAUCAGGAGAGUGGCAGUUUUAGGAACAGAGAAAAGUUGAGUCAUAGAUGCCUUUAUGUGGUUCAUCUGUCUUGGUCUAGACCAGUGGGUUCUCAACUAGGGGUGAUUUGGCAAUAUCUGGAGGCAUUUUUGGUUGUCACAGCUUGGGGGUAGGUGGUGAGUUAGAUGCACUACUGGCUUCUGGCCAGCGGGGGCCAAAGAUGCUAUAAUUGUCCUACAGUGCAUAAGACAUCCACCUUCCAACAAAGAAUUACCUAGCCCAAAAUGUCAAUAGUGCUGAGACUGAGAAACUCCGCUCUAGGCUACAGGGACAACUUGUAAACCUGAGGCCCUCAGGCAAGUCAGGCAAGGUGAUGGGCCAAGUACAUUACAGUAAUCUAUUGUUGGGACCCAUGCCAACUCUGAAGCUGCUACCCACGAAGUAUGAUUUGAGGAGCUGUCAUCACUGGGUCCUUCUCUGGGAAGGAAGCCAGCACCGGAAUAGCCAGUGUCAGGCUGGAGGCAGAGGGUGCACAAGCCAGUUGGGCUGGACAGAGAGGCUCUCUUGGGAGUUGCUGGUCAAGGUUCUGGGGCUGGAUGAACAGACUGGACAUACAGGGAUCAGAGCAAGGUGUGGAGAUAACCAAACAAAGGCCCGUAUUUAGGGCCAAAGCUGGGCUUGCAGACAGGCAGGCAGAAACCAGAAGAUUCACAGGGGAUCGCUGUGGGAGGGGAGGGGAAGAGUAGAGAGUGCUGGUGGUCAGUAAGGUGCAAGCAGAGUUGGCAAGUAGUAUACCGGAAGGGGGAGAGAAGCAACCAGAGACUCUCUUUUGCUUCAUCCUAUAAACUUCUUUUGCGCUCUGGCUAGGGCUGGAGUUAAUCAGAGAACCAAAGGGGAUAGCCAUGAUGCAAUGCAGCAGUUCUCCCUGUGUGAGGGAAAAAGCAAAGCCUAUUUUCUACAAAUUCUUUCCUGUCCAGUUUUUAUGCUGAAACUCCUGCAUUAGAUGGAUCCUUUGAGCAAAGGCACUAUCUAUAGAGAGCCAAUGUUAAAAAAAUAAUAUUUAAAAUGAAGGAACAUUAACUCAAUAGUACAGACCAUGUAAUUACUCCUUAAAGAGAAAACAAUAGGUUUAAGUAAACUUUGAUAGUUGUGGUCAUGGAGUAUAGAAAAAAACUGUGAUUAUCAGUGUCUGAGAGAAGAGAGCCCCCAAAAGAGAAUAGGUGUUUUAAUUGAGCUUCACUGAGCACACACAUACACACAUACACACACAUAGAAGCAACUGAAAAUGGGUCCUUAGAUGUCCAGAAUUUUUAAUACAAGUUCUAAGAAAUCAAUGGGUUUUUUUUUUUUGGUAAUACACACUGUGUGAUUAUGAUAAUUUAUGAAAAUAUUCUGGAAUUUAUUCCUUUGAUUUUGGAGGGGGUUGGCAAGUGAUCUCAAAUAUCCAGUGUCCCAAUUCUAUCAAUUUGUAACGCUCAAGUACAGGGGAAGAAUGCACCAUUUUGACACCCUGAAGUGAUUUUUAAAAAAAUACCACAAUUGUAAUCUGUAAGUAACAGAAAUCAUAGCACCACGGGAACUUUAUUAUACUGAGAUGAACUCUAUCACCAAAGUUGGCAGAAGUGUAACUCAAGGAGGAGGCACAGCCACCAUAUCCAGAUGAUGGUUUUGUUACAAGACAACAAUGAAUCAGUGGCUGAGCUGAGAGAACCCCAUUGCCUGUCUGCUGUUUGACUGGUUCUGACAAGGAGGCAGGCUGGACCCCUCCCAAGGACCCCUCCCAAGGACCCCUCCCAAGGUAAUCAGUCCUAUGGCAUAUGCCUCCAAGGAUCCCGUCUAUGGUGUCCUCAACAUACUUGUCUUUCCCUUCCUUCUGCCUUAUAUUUUCCUCUUUAAAUUUAUUUUGUCACAAGAAAACUUAGGGGACAAAUUACUUAAUUUUUCAGUAAUUUUCAUGCAUGAGAACUAAUGGAACUCAGUUUAUUUGUUAUGCCAUUAUAAUCUAUAGGACCAUAAAAUGGUGCUUUCUAGGUCAUGUAUUUCCUGUGAUUAUCAGACAGUAAGACGGAGUAGCAGUUCAAUAUGUAAGCUCUGGAGUCUUACAACUGGUAUGACUUUAUGAUUUUUCUAUGUCCUAGUUUUCUCAUAGGAAGAUUAUGAAGAUAAAAUGAGAAGUGCCAGGAAAUGGCUUAGAGUAGUCCUGGCAUGUAGUAAGUGCUCAGUAAAUUUUUAACAAAAGGAAAAAGAGAAAGCUUUCAGAUUUCACUAUUAUCAGGCUAACAUGAGAAACUUAAAAUAUUGGGAUAUUUGCUAAUCAUUAAUCUUUUUACGGACUCUUUUUUUCAUUAAACCUUUCCAAACAGCUACUAAGAGCACUAAUGGAGCAAACAAAGGUAUAUAAGAAAUAAUCUAUGACUUUGAGUUAGUAGGGUCCAAUGAAAGAUUCUAACAUAUGCAAUUAUAAUACAGUGGGGGGUGCUUAGUGUUGGAACUCAAGAGAUGGGAGCUAAGGGAGGGGUGGACAGAAGAUAGAAGAGAGUUUGGGAACACAUUGUGAAAGGGAAUGGGACUGAAAUGUCUGGAUCUGUUUUAGACAUUCAAGUGCUGGUGGGAGUUGAGACCAUGAGGAGAUGAGUCUCUAGACAGGCAUUUUGAGGAAGAGAGAAAAGUCAGUGGUGCUUAUUUAUUCAUGACUAGAAACUCAAGACAAGUUUUCUUGCUUUUUCAGCUUAAAAUGAGUUAGUCAAAAUGAAGAAAACUUUCUUUCUAUAGUCAAGGGAAAAAAAGUGUCUCUAAUUAAACCCAGCUGGUGUGGGGGUGCCGCUGGUGUAAGAGUGAUGCUGGUGGAACGGGGAGCAGCAUUCAGCUUCCUGCUGGCAGACUGAUCUACUGCAAGGCUGUUGAGAAUGGCUUAGUUGAUUUGAAGGUCAAGUUUAAGAAAAUGCUGGAGGGCUGAUAGAGGGCUGAUAGACACAGGGCUCUGUGGGGAAACUGGAAGGCCAUGUAAGUCAAGAAAGAAGAGGUAACUUAGGCAGAUGGGACUAUGGCUGGAUCCAAGGCCAAAAUGUUUCACCAUAAGCCAUAAAAGUUAAAAGAUGGCAAAGCCAGGGCUAACCAAAAGUGAAGUGAAAUUGUGAUGAUUUCCCUGAUGAUGUGUCAAGUGUAUUCUGUGCAUUCUGCUUGGAAUUUUUUGAGUAAUCUCAGUCUGAGAUAGGCUCAGUUUAAGACAAGGGCCCAGUUUAGGGUUGGGAUAAAACUGCUGUGAGAACACUCCAGGGAAGCAUUUUGGCCUUGAGAUGUCUUCUGGAAUAAAUUAGACAUGCUGAUGACAAAACCUAGAUCAUCUCUAAUAAUCUACGUACACUGCUGGGGGGCCAUUUUAUAGAUAAUUCUUCUCCCAAGGUACAAAUUGACUCUAAAUGUCAUUUUGAAAAUAUUAGCAAAGCUUGGAACGUAACAGGCAAAAUACUGUUCUUUUAACUUUCAUAAGUUGUUGUGAUAUGCUGUUACAGGAUCACCUUUAGAGUUUUAACCUUUUAGUUAAACUAUCCUUUUUGCUUUAUCAUAAGUACCUUAGGGAUGCCUGGGUGCCUCAGUGGUUGAGCGUCUGCCUUCAGCUCACAGCGUGAUCUUGGGAUCCAGGAUGGAGUCCUGCAUAGGCUCUCUGUGGGGAGCCUGCUUCUCUCUCUGCCUAUGUCUCGGUCUUUCUCUCUCUCUCUCUCUGUGUCUCUCAUGAAUAAAUAAAUAAAUCUUAAAAAAAAAUAAGUACCUUAAAAACAACCUAUUUCUAUCUACCACAAUUUAAUGACAAAUUCAAAUAAGUCAUUUGGCAUCAUGUACACAAUGCCUAAAAAUAGUCAAAAGUAGAUCAAAGCAGUUAUUUCUAGUUAUAUUAUAUUAGUAUUACUGAUAUCUAAACUAAUUUUUUCAUUUAUUUACAAUAUAAGGGGAAGCAAUAUAUAUCGAACACAUGUAUAUAAACACUACAAAACUUACAUUAAUUGCCUUUACCUCUAUCUUUGACUUUAACAGUUAAAGAAUAACAUAAAUUUAACUUUUAAUACUAAUUUUAAUAAUUAACAUAAGAUAUAAGGAUAGUCUUAUUUGGAACAUUAACCACAGGUUGGAGUUUUAGAAUAGUCUACUCUGCACACUUCAGAAAUUAAGAAUGUUUACAUUUUUACUGACUUAAUAGCUGAUUAUUGUCUAGUGUUUCCCAAAUACAUCUGGUGCUAAAAAAUAAUUUCUACAACUUAAGUGUGCAUUGACAAAUG
This is a long non-coding RNA of Canis lupus familiaris (dog), 4606 nucleotides long. RefSeq lists it as uncharacterized. Lineage: Eukaryota; Metazoa; Chordata; Mammalia; Carnivora; Canidae. The transcript has 3 exons. The record is from RefSeq and is a predicted model, not a curated record.